RNAcentral lists this ribosomal RNA (254 nucleotides) under uncultured bacterium. RNAcentral describes it as "partial 16S ribosomal RNA". It matches the Rfam family "Bacterial small subunit ribosomal RNA", at positions 524 to 776 of the family's 1533-position model. The record is from RNAcentral.
UACGUAGGGUGCAAGCGUUGUCCGGAAUUAUUGGGCGUAAAGAGCUCGUAGGCGGUCUGUCACGUCGGCUGUGAAAACCUGGGGCUCAACUCCGGGCCUGCAGCCGAUACGGGCAGACUAGAGUUCGGCAGGGGAGACUGGAAUUCCUGGUGUAGCGGUGAAAUGCGCAGAUAUCAGGAGGAACGACCGGUGGCGAAGGCGGGUCUCUGGGCCGAAACUGACGCUGAGGAGCGAAAGCGUGGGGAGCAAACAGG